This 418-nucleotide ribosomal RNA is filed under the name Eutreptiella gymnastica. RNAcentral describes it as "partial Bacterial large subunit ribosomal RNA". It matches the Rfam family "Bacterial large subunit ribosomal RNA", at positions 823 to 1245 of the family's 2925-position model. Lineage: Eukaryota; Euglenozoa; Euglenophyceae; Eutreptiales; Eutreptiaceae. The record is from RNAcentral.
GAAAGGCUAAUCAAGCUCGGAGAUAGCUGGUUCUCCUCGAAAGCUAUUUAGGUAGCGCCUCAUGUAUCACUCUUGGGGGUAGAGCACUGUUUGGGCUAGGGGGUCAUCCCGACUUACCAACCCUUUGCAAACUCCGAAUACCCAUGAGUGCUAUCCGGGAGACACACGGCGGGUGCUAACGUCCGUCGUGGAGAGGGAAACAACCCAGACCGCCAGCUAAGGUCCCAAAAUAUUGCUAAGUGGGAAACGAUGUGGGAAGGCUAAGACAGCUAGGAGGUUGGCUUAGAAGCAGCCAUCCUUUAAAGAAAGCGUAAUAGCUCACUAGUCGAGUCGGCCUGCGCGGAAGAUGUAACGGGGCUAAGCAAUAUACCGAAGCUGCGGAUACGUGUUUACACGUAUGGUAGGGGAGCGUUGUGUA